Molecule: unclassified non-coding RNA, 276 nt
Filed under: Hevea brasiliensis (rubber tree)
Lineage: Eukaryota; Viridiplantae; Streptophyta; Magnoliopsida; Malpighiales; Euphorbiaceae
Source: RNAcentral
GAACUGACUCCACGACGGAGCCGCCGCCAUGUUUUUCCUGCAAGUUCAUUCAGUGGACACCGAUCACCCUCUCAACAUCGGAAUUUCGCCGGACGAAUCCUCAACCACCAGCACCAUUUCUCAACGAAACAGUACAGCUUCUCACGCCCACCCGAAAUUUAGUGAACGAAGAGGUAUCGUUCACUUAUUCCGAAGCAUUUCGAACUCAUCGCUCCCGAACCCUAGCUCUCAAUCCACGAUCCUCUUUGUUGUUGCUGUUCCGAACUAUCUUUCAUA